RNAcentral lists this ribosomal RNA (342 nucleotides) under uncultured bacterium. Its description in RNAcentral is "bacterial SSU rRNA". It matches the Rfam family "Bacterial small subunit ribosomal RNA", at positions 28 to 372 of the family's 1533-position model. The record is from RNAcentral.
GACGAACGCUGGCGGCGUGCUUAACACAUGCAAGUCGAGCGGUAAGGCCCUUUCGGGGGUACACGAGCGGCGAACGGGUGAGUAACACGUGGGUGACCUGCCCUCAGCUCUGGGAUAAGCCUGGGAAACUGGGUCUAAUACUGGAUAUGACUCCACGGUGCAUGUCGUGGGGUGGAAAGCCUUGUGCGGCUGAGGAUGGGCCCGCGGCCUAUCAGCUUGUUGGUGGGGUGAGGCCUACCAAGGCGACGACGGGUAGCCGGCCUGAGAGGGCGACCGGCCACACUGGGACUGAGACACGGCCCAGACUCCUACGGGAGGCAGCAGUGGGGAAUCUUGCGCAAA